This 253-nucleotide ribosomal RNA is filed under the name uncultured bacterium. RNAcentral describes it as "partial 16S ribosomal RNA". It matches the Rfam family "Bacterial small subunit ribosomal RNA", at positions 524 to 776 of the family's 1533-position model. The record is from RNAcentral.
GACGUAGGUGGCGAACGUUAUCCGGAAUUAUUGGGCGUAAAGGGUGCGCAGAUGGUCUGACAAGUUAGCAGUGGCAAAUCGAGGCUCAACCUCGUGGAAACUGGUAAUACUGUCUGACUCGAGUACAGGAGAGGUUAACGGAACUCCAUGUGGAGCGGUAAAAUGUGUAGAUAUUGGGAAGAACACCGGUGGCGAAGGCGGCUCACUGGCCAGUUUCUGACGCUGCAGCGCGAAAGCGUGGGGAUCAAACAGG